This 207-nucleotide unclassified non-coding RNA is filed under the name Hevea brasiliensis (rubber tree). The record is from RNAcentral. Lineage: Eukaryota; Viridiplantae; Streptophyta; Magnoliopsida; Malpighiales; Euphorbiaceae.
GUUUAACCUCUUUAAACUAGUCAAUUUCCCAAUGAUUUCUGGUAAAUGAGUGAAAAGGUUUGAACUCAAGUCAAGAGAAAUAAGGUUUGUCAGGUUCCCGAAAGAAGCUGGCAGCGAUUUUAGCCUGUUUGCAUGCAGGUCGACGUAGGUUAGAUUGACGAGCUCCCCAAAUGUGUCGGGAAGGUUUAUUAAUUGGUUCGAGUGAAU